UUUUUCCUGGUGCCUGUUCCUGUCUCAGGUAUGGCAGAGCACGAUUCCUCCAGUCUCUCUCUUUCUCAGACUCCCCAGUGCUCCUUAACCUUUCGAGUUCCUCCCACAGCUCUGCUCCUCAGUUUGGGCUGAGCACAUCACCCACCUCGUCACCCCUCACACAGCUCUUCUCACCACGCCGAGGAAGGCUCUGGCACGUCCUUUGUCUGCCUCUUCUGGGAGCUCUGCCAGGGCUGCUACAAUUGUCCUGGUCGGUGCAGAGGACAUGGCUCUGCUGAGGGGACACCACAGCCCAGAAGGUCAGUGUGGAGGACACAGACACGGCUCUGCUGAGGGGACACCACAGCCCAGAAGGAAAUUGUGAAGUCCUUAGGAUUUUGAGGUACACCAAAGUUCUUCCAUGGACUCAGAUACUGUUCAUCUAAUUUAUGAGCUUUUGUCUCAAUUAUACAUACAAACCAGUGCUGACCAAGGGAUGCAGCGAAGCCCUGCUGACAGAGGGACAGAGAAGAAUUCAAAUCACCCAGCAAGUAAGCCAAGUAAGUACUGAAACCAACAGCAGCAGGAUCAACCAUUACCUGGAAACCAGAAACAAUAUUAAAACCAAAAAUUAGAGACCUUUGAGAUCUUCUUUCUAUAAAUUCUUCUUUUGUCUCCAAAUAAUGUGAUGCAAAAUUCUGUGGCUCUGUUUUAUACCUGAGUUUUGGUAGGUGGUCCUCAAGCCAGAAAUAAGUCAUUUGCCCCCCAAAGAUCUGUCACUUUAAUUGAGGAGAUGGAAAAGCAAUAUUCAAACCUAGCAGAGAAAGAAACUGAACCUAAGGGCUCCUGCAUGUCGGAGAACAGAUAGGGAGAAGGUUGCUCACUGGGCUAAAGGCUCAUUGGGCUCUAGUCAAAGACAAAUUGGAUUUAUCAGCAAAGUAUUUCUUCUAGAUUGGAGAUGAAAUAAGUAGAGCUGCAACAAGAAAGAAAUUCUUCAUCCGUAAAAGCUGAAGGCUAGAAAUGAAGCAAGAAUUCCCUUGUUUUGAAUAUUGUUGCAUCCCUUAAAUUUGAAAUCCUCAGUUUUCCUCAGUUUGCUAGGCCUUGCAUGCUGCUUCUGUUUAGUAUUGAACCCUGUUGGGCCCCAGUGAUUCAUUACAUUGAACAUUUAUGUGUUAUUACCCUCCUCACUUUUGAUAUGAAGAACAACAGGUAAGAGCCAACAUCUUUGCUGGUUUCCUGAUACUGACACAGAAGGAAUGCACAAGCCUGCUGCUUGGAAACUUGAAACUGGAGCCACAGGAACCAACCCAGCUUUGUGAUUUCACCUGCGGUGCAAACACCUUGGAUUAUCCUCAUCUCUUCAGAAACACUUGAAAGAGUGUACUGACGUAGUGCACAUCAUAGGUAAACUAUAAUUAAAACAAGAGGCAGAAGCAAUAUGGUAUGAGGGUAGAAGAAGCAGGCAAUGGGAAAAUCAGGAUACAAAGGGCUGCUGUGGGGAGUUGGCUUUUGG
Long non-coding RNA from Chiroxiphia lanceolata (lance-tailed manakin), 1492 nucleotides. RefSeq lists it as uncharacterized. NCBI's taxonomy places the organism in Eukaryota, Metazoa, Chordata, Aves, Passeriformes, Pipridae. The transcript is spliced from 3 exons. The record is from RefSeq and is a predicted model, not a curated record.